AUGAAUGUCACUUACAAACCAACAAGCUGUGAAAAAAAACAAGGAAAGACGUUACCGGAUUGGAAGGAGACGAUGGCGGCACAGCGGAAGGGCUUGCGAGAUCGCUGCAGUUCCGUUGUGAACUGCGGUCAAAUAGAAAAUCGCAACAACGCUGAGGUUGGAGAAAAGAUGGGAUGGUGGGCGAAAAGCUGGUGCGGUGGUUUACAGUUUAACAGUGGUGGAAGAUUGAUGUAUUUGAGGUUUCAUUUUGGGCAUGUUUUGGAUAGCAAGUAUAAGGACAAUGUAGCAGAGGCAGCAUUUGUCUGGGCAGCAAGACAGCAGCAGGGUGGACAGCAACAGGGGCUGAUUUUGUAG
This is a non-coding RNA of Vicia faba (fava bean), 354 nucleotides long. NCBI's taxonomy places the organism in Eukaryota, Viridiplantae, Streptophyta, Magnoliopsida, Fabales, Fabaceae. The record is from the annotation of a GenBank genome assembly.